Molecule: RNA transcript, 3761 nt
Organism: Eriocheir sinensis (Chinese mitten crab)
Lineage: Eukaryota; Metazoa; Arthropoda; Malacostraca; Decapoda; Varunidae
Exons: 4
Source: RefSeq, a predicted model, not a curated record
UUAACGCAGGAAGCAGCAUCCUGCUGAACCUGACUUGUGAACUGUCAUUGAUAAUUAAGAGUUCGGUCUCCUUAGCUCCAAUAACAUUAUACUGAGUUUGUUAUGGAAACAUAUGCAAUAAUUAUAUAAAAAAAAUCAUACAGACAUGAGGAAAAGCUUAUAAAAUAAAUUGAUGCCAUUGAUUUCAUGUAUACGUUGACUAGGUCCCUCGAGCACCUCGGAUGAAUAUGUAUAAAUUAUAUAGUAAAUUUUUAUUUUUAUUUUAUUAUCUACUAUAAUGGUCAAGUUUGUAGUCAAAUUCAUCUCUUAAUUUAUGAUAACAAUGAAAAAAUAUGAUACUGAAUAACAACAAUUCAAUCCUUUCAAUAUAAAUUAAACAGCACCUGCCUAUACCUACAUGACGGUAAUUACUAUUGCUCGUUUCGAAACACGUAGUACAACAACAAAUUAUGAGAAAUAUAUACAUAUAUAUGAAAAGGGCCUUUAACCUGAACUAUUCUCGGGCCCCGCACCUGGGGAAAGGAAUAAGGAAAGAAAAAAAAAUAUUAUUAUUAUAAUUAUUAUUAUUAUAGCAAUACCAGAAAGUGGCAUUAUCAAUAUGAUCUAAAAGCAAUAGUGGUUACUAUUAUUAAGAUAACCAUUAUCUAGCUACUAUUACUAUCACCAUUAGAGGGAGAGGAGCUGAAAAUUUUCCUAGUGCAUUUCACACCUCAGUCUAGCGCUAUUGCAUCCUACACAUUUGGCAACACUGCUUGCGUGUGUGGGGCCGAGGAUAAAAGCACAAGCAGCAGCAGGACCGACGCAGUCCCUCGCCAGAUCCAUGGAUCUCUGCCACACAUCGCCGCCCACUCUGAGCCUGCUACGAGAGCGCGGCGCCGGUGGAGGCUGGAGCUCGGGGCUCACUGACUGCGAGGAGGAUGAGAAGGCUCGGUGCGGCGCGAGGAAGCCCAAGAUGUUCGAGAUGGGCCCGCUGGAAGACCCUGCCAUGGAGGAGCGUCGGCAGCGGGCCAUCUACGCCAGGAGGAGCCGCGAGAACAGGAAGAGGGAAAUAGCGGAACUACAGCGCGAGGUGGAGGCGCUGCGGGAUAUUAAGGAACAGUGCCAAGAGAUGGUUGCGAACGUGAACCGCCUAGCGCAGAGUCAGCAGUGCAAGAUUAAGCAGCUGGAGCAGAGUCUCGCCAAUGCUCGCCAACAAUUGAGGGCGAGGGACGAGCAGCUUCAGAGUAACCAGGAGAGGCUGAGCCGCAUGAAAACCCACCUCGAGAUGAUCACCGAGGGCUGCGAGGAGAACAGCAUGGUGCGCCGCAUGAUCCUCAACCUGCUCGCCAUCAACACCAGCUAGUGUGCGGGGCCCAUAGUCUCACAUAUAUUGGGGCUUACACAACAACAUAUGACAUGAAAAGUGAAAAUUGCUGCACACAACAGUCUGCCGUCUGCACCGGGAGGCAAGGCAGCUCAAAGCCCAGGCUGUUACAACUCCUGGGCAGUUUUUGCCCAGAGCCAGCAAUUUUUUAGAUCCAAUAGGGAUGGAUUUUUUCUGAGGUCAGGUUCAACAUGCUGCAAGAUGCCAAGAUCUAAGCCUAGUAGAAGAUAUGGGUUACAAGAGAGGAGGUUUGCUCUGGCCUUAUACUAUCAAAGUCCAAAUGCUAAUAGAUUUCUGAGCACAGUAUUUCACUUGCCUUCAAUUUCAACACUUCACUCAUGACUCAGGGGUAUUUCAGUACAUGUUGGCUGGAGCAAACAGACUCUGACAGCCCUGCAGCAAAGAGCACAGGCUUUGUCAAAAGAAGAGAAACUUCGUGGGAUUUGCCAUUAUUUAGUAUUACUCUUGUUACGCCAAGAAUUUUUUUCCAUAUACUUUGCCAAAUAUUGCAAGUAAUGCACCAUUGUUGGGCUUACCUGUUAUAAAUCAGAUCUUGUUCAAUUAACAAGCUUUGGGUGUCUGCCACUUUUAAGUUGUAAUGCAAGGAAUCAUUUAUCUUCCCUGCUAGAUAUCACAUGUAAUGCACCAUUGUUGGUUUUGCCUGUUAUAAAUCAGAUCUUGUUCAGUUAACAAGCUUUAAGUGUCUGCCACUUUCCAAUUGUAAUGCAAGGAAUCCCCUGCCAGAUAUCACAUGUAAUGCACCAUUGUUGGUUUUGCCUGUUAUAAAUCAGAUCUUGUUCAGUUAACAAGCUUUAGGUGUCUGCCACUUUCCAGUUGUAAUGCAAGGAAUCCCCUGCCAGAUAUCGCAUGUAAUGCACCAUUGUUGGUUUUGCCUGUUAUAAAUCAGAUCUUGUUCAGCUCACAAGCUUUGAAUAUCUGCCAUUGUUUAUUUCAGGUGUAAUGCUUGGAAACAUUUGUUCUCUCCCCUACCCAACAGUAUGCAAUACUUUAUUGUGGAUUUUGCCUGUUAUGUUUAAUCUUGUUUAGGUAACAAACUUUUGGUGUCUGCCUUACCUAAUAUGUGCUGCAGUGACACUUGGCUUGGUUUCAUGAUGUGAAAUACAGCAUGUAAUUUCAUCACACUAAGUGUCUAUUAUCACGUGUCUGGCAUCAUUAAUGUGGCUUCCAGGAGUAAUCUUGUUUGUAUUACAGCACGCAAUUUUUUUUUGCUUUAUAUGAUAUAUAUAAUCACAUAGGUUUGAUUUACAAAAUGUAAUGGCAGUUGAUAUUCUUGCCUAAUGCCUCAUAAACCGUGUGAAAAAUAAUGCUCUUUUGAGAGGGGGGGGGGAGGGUGUACAGAGAAUGGUUUGUUUGGUUGGCCAGUUCAAGGAGUUUCAUAUCAAAUGAUUUUAUUACAUCCAACUUUAAUGUGUGCUAAAAACAUAUAUUUUAUUACAUCCAACUUUAAUGUGUGCUAAAAACAUAUAUUUUAUUACAUCCAACUUUAAUGUGUGCUUCCUGCAAUAAAUGCUACAUGUUUACUGAUGUAGCCUACGAAAUACAUAUCACUCUCUGCCCUGUAAUUUAAUUGGUGUGUCACAUACUGCAGCAUAACUUUCCUGCUAUUUUCUUACACUAUGAGUUGCCUUAUUUUGUCUCAUUUGCUUUUAUCAUAUGUGCCUCCGCUGCAUAGUUGUGCCUACUGAGCUUAAUAUCUUCAUGACCCUGACACCAAGGUCAGAGCUUGUGAGAUCAUACCGUGUCCUACAUUCCAUUUUCACUUCCAGGCUUGGCUGUCUCCCAGGACCACCAAGUUAUUGCAUUCCAUUUACGACAACUCAUGUGUUACCUUCUUAAUGUCCUCCAUCAUGUAUUUCAGCAUGUUUUAUGAUGCUUUGCUCUUAUAUUGAUGUGCCUUGCAACAUUUUUAUACAGUUUUCAUUGUAUAUAAUGCACCAUUGUUGGUUUUGCCUGUUAUAAAUCGGGUCAUGUUCAGUUAACAAGCUUUGAGUGUCUCCCAUUGUUUAUUUCAGUUGUAAUGCUUAUAGAAGCUUUUGUUCUCUGCCCUGUCAAGCAGUAUGCAAUGCUUGCCAUUAUCUGGCACUUGUACAGUUAGUAUGAUAUUUUUACUCAGCUAAGAGCAUUUUGCAAAAGGUAAAGGUAAGGCUGGGGGCAUACGCUGUAGCAGCGCGUGGCCUCGGUGCUCAUCUCUGUAACAUUGGCCCUUGAGCCUGUGGUGUUAGGGAACCCAUUACCCUGGGACACAGGACCAGUGUGACAUCCGGGUUACCACAGUUGCAAAGGCAUUAUAGUAAUUUAGCAUGCAUAGAAUGUUGUAUGCUUUGCUUGUAUUUAAAGCACUGGAUAUGUUUGCUACACACACACACACACACACACA